Molecule: long non-coding RNA, 938 nt
Filed under: Homo sapiens (human)
Lineage: Eukaryota; Metazoa; Chordata; Mammalia; Primates; Hominidae
Description: non-protein coding lnc-NPHS2-3:1
Source: RNAcentral
CUGCCCCUGGCCAUGCGGAGGCGUUAACUGGGGUUCCUGUCGGGUGUUGGACUCCAACGCAAACUUCCCAUCCGAAGCCUUCAGGGGCUCCUCGGGAACCAGGACUAGGAACUAAGGCCAACGCAAUGCCGCCUCCGCCCUGCAGGGCGAGGGCCCCACGAAAAAAGGCGCUCCCGCCGCACACCUCUGGCACCCCAAGCCGAGGGGGCGCUCCCCGCUCCCUCUUACCUGAAGGUACCACCAAUCUUCGCCCGCCCCCUACCUGGUCUAGGGUUGGGGUCCCUGCCCCACCCCCAACGUCUCUCGGUGACCCUCACGGGAGCGGGGCGUGGCCCUUCCACCUGCCCUGGCGGCUCUCUGCAACCUGAGGUGGAAAGGAAGGCAGGAGGCGCCAGGUGAGGCGCCCUUCUCGGCCCGGCACCGCCCUGCUGCCAGUCACCCGUCUUGCCCCCACCGCGCCCUGACGCCAGCGCUGCUGGUGCGGGCCGAGUAGAGAUUAGGGGGCCCUCUCCGAAUCGGCGCAGGAAGGUAGCUGCGACGGCGGCCCCGCGCGCCUGCGCACCAGCGCCCCCUGACCAGCAGGCCUCUCCCGGGGCGCCGCGUUCCAGCCCCGAGGGCACGUGGCAGGUGGGACGGUUGGGCAGGAUUAGCCGCUCCGGGGUCAGGUGUGAGGUCCGCCCCAGUCUCAGGAGCCGCUGGGCCCGGCUGCAGAGGCUGGCCGCCUUCCAGGAUCCCAGGCGCCUACGUCCUCCGACGCGGUGGGAAGACGCGAGGUUUAAUAUAUGACAGCAAGGAGCACCCCGGAGGCUGCCAGCGCAUGUGACUUCGUGUUUCUGUGCUACAUGAGACUAGUGUCCUCAUCUUCCAUCGUGACAACCCUUCUCUCUCCCCCAACCCUCUCCCCCGCCCACAGUGCCAACAGGCUCUGGGCAAAGCUG